GCGGAAGAAGCCGCCGCUCCACGUGGGAGAAGCGAUCGCCUCCGGUAACCGGGGGGGUGUGUGUGUUGGUACGGACACAACGGGAAGGGGAAAGAAUUAACUCACUUGACUCAUUGGCAAGACAACUCAUCUUCUACCUGCAAAGUGCUCCUCCCCAUAGCCAUCACUACAAAAAAAAAAAACCACAGAUAGGAAAAAAAAAUAGCCUUUGCAUCAGUAUUGCUCUUAAAGGAGCAUUUCUGGAUGUAAUUUCACUGAAUUUCACUGAAUUUUAGAGUUGGAAGGGACCAUAGAGAUCAUCUAGUCCAACUCCAUAAAGCUUUUUUUUUUUUUU
Long non-coding RNA from Calidris pugnax (ruff), 334 nucleotides. RefSeq lists it as uncharacterized. The record is from RefSeq and is a predicted model, not a curated record. Lineage: Eukaryota; Metazoa; Chordata; Aves; Charadriiformes; Scolopacidae. The transcript has 2 exons.